CACGUAGGGGCGCGAGCGUUGUCCGGAAUUAUUGGGCGUAAAGAGCUCGUAGGCGGCCUGUUGCGUCCGCUGUGAAAGCCCGGGGCUUAACCCCGGGUCGCAGUGGAUACGGGCAGGCUAGAGGUAGGUAGGGGAGAAUGGAAUUCCCGGUGUAGCGGUGAAAUGCGCAGAUAUCGGGAGGAACACCGGUGGCGAAGGCGGUUCUCUGGGCCUUACCUGACGCUGAGGAGCGAAAGCGUGGGGAGCGAACAGGAUAGAAACCCUAG
RNAcentral lists this ribosomal RNA (266 nucleotides) under uncultured bacterium. Its description in RNAcentral is "partial 16S ribosomal RNA". It matches the Rfam family "Bacterial small subunit ribosomal RNA", at positions 524 to 790 of the family's 1533-position model. The record is from RNAcentral.